This 224-nucleotide unclassified non-coding RNA is filed under the name Hevea brasiliensis (rubber tree). Lineage: Eukaryota; Viridiplantae; Streptophyta; Magnoliopsida; Malpighiales; Euphorbiaceae. The record is from RNAcentral.
AGAUGUCUUUAUUUGCUUUACCCUGUCAAUGAUUUAAUUUCACAGGGUCCAUAUCUCUCACUUGGCCAUACUGAGGAAGCUUUAAGUAGUAUUCAUAGUUUUAAAAUCUAAGUUGCAACAAUGGUAAUUUGAUGCAUUAUAAAUGACAUUAGGUAUAUGGGCUUUUUAAAAUUAAAAAAGAAAAGCUAAAAUUUGCAAUGCCACAUAAAUGACUUUAGAUUUGG